Long non-coding RNA from Chrysolophus pictus (golden pheasant), 1739 nucleotides. The record is from Ensembl. NCBI's taxonomy places the organism in Eukaryota, Metazoa, Chordata, Aves, Galliformes, Phasianidae.
GGACGAUGGGGUGUUGCAGUGGGGGGGGGGGCAGGGCAACAGGGCUGUGCUGCAGGGCAGUGGGGCGAUGCAAUGGAGGAUUGCAGCAGGGUGAUGAGGCGAUGCAACGGGGUGAUGCUGCAGGGUGAUGGGGCAUGCAGUGGGGUGAUGCUGCAGGGCAGUGGGGUGAUGCAGUAGGGUGAUGCUGUAGGGUGAUGGGGCAAUGCUGCAGGGCAGUGGGGUGAUGCAAUGGGGCAAUGCAGUGGGGGGAUGCAGUGGGGAGGCAGUGGUGCAGGGAUGCUGUCUCUAUGGGAUGCAGUGGGGAAUCUUUGGGUGCAAGGAUGCUGGCACCUUGGGGAUGCAAUGGGGACACAGUGGUGCACGGAUGGAGGCACCAUGGGGAUGCAAUAGGGAUGCAGUGGUGCAGGGAUGCUGUCUCUAUGGGGUGCAGUGGGGAAGCAUUGGGUGCAAGGAUGCUGACACCUUGAGGAUGCAAUGGGGAUGCAGUGGUGCAGGGAUGCCGGCACCAUGGGGAUGCAAUGGGGAUGCAUUGGUGCAGGGAUGCAGGCACCAUGGAGAUGCAAUGGGGAUGCAUUGGUGCAGGGAUGCAGGCACCAUGGGGAUGCAAUGGGGAUGCAGUGGUGCAGGGAUGCAGGCACCAUGGAGAUGCAAUGGGGAUGCAUUGGUGCAGGGAUGCAGGCACCACGGAGAUGCAAUGGGGAUGCAGUGGUGCAGGGAUGCAGGCACCACGGAGAUGCAAUGGGGAUGCAUUGGUGCAGGGAUGCAGGCACCACGGAGAUGCAAUGGGGAUGCAUUGGUGCAGGGAUGCAGGCACCAUGGAGAUGCAAUGGGGAUGCAGUGGUGCAGGGAUGCAGGCACCUUGGGGAUGCAGUGGGGAUGCAGUGGUGCAGGGAUGCAGGCACCUUGGGGAUGCAGUGGGGAUGCAUUGGUGCAGGGAUGCAGGCACCACGGAGAUGCAAUGGGGAUGCAGUGGUGCAGGGAUGCAGGCACCUUGGGGAUGCAAUGGGGAUGCAGUGGUGCAGGGAUGCAGGCACCAUGGAGAUGCAAUGGGGAUGCAGUGGUGUAGGCCUGCUGGCACCACGGUGGUGCCUGGCCCUGCUGCUGCUGCAGGACCCCCAAGACCCCCCUCCAUGCUCCCAGUGGGUGGCUGCUCUGCAUUUUUUGCAUGCACGGAGGGGCCUCCAUGCAGCUCCCAUGGCUGCGCUCCCACCCCUCCUGGAGCAGCACGUUGGGACCCAGCCCACAACCAACCCACGCUGUGCACGGGGCCGGCAGUGGUGGGAUUUUCCCCGGGGUUGGGGCUGCCACGCUGCUCCCCCCGCAGACCUGGAGGCGCUGCUGGCCGACCUGAGCUCCUUCCUGCUCCUCCUCGACCGGGAGAACCUCAGCGCCGCAGCCCGAGCCAAGAAGCAGUCGGUGGGAGAGCUGCUGCAACGGCUGCAGGGCCCGGCAGCAGCAGCAGAGGAUGCGGAGUACAUGAUGAUGCGCUGCCUCUCGCCUUCCUCGGGGAGCCGGCAGUGCCGGGGUGGUGCAGGUGAGUUGUGCUGUGCACCGAGCUUUGGGUUGCUCACCGUCCUGCUGACCUCGUGCACUGCUUGCAGUCCUGCUCCAACCCCCCCACAACCCCCCAGGAGCUGCGAUGAUGGAUGCAAGAGGAGGGAGAGCGUGUGAGCGUCUCCAGGGCAGCACCCAGAGCUCACAGGUGGGGGUAAGGAUGGCGGGAGCAAAGCUGGGGGGGG